CCUACGGGCGGCUGCAGUGGGGAAUAUUGGACAAUGGGGGCAACCCUGAUCCAGCCAUGCCGCGUGUGUGAAGAAGGCCCUCGGGUUGUAAAGCACUUUCAGUGAGGAAGAACGCCUGGUGGUUAAUACCCAUCAGGAAAGACAUCACUCACAGAAGAAGCACCGGCUAACUCCGUGCCAGCAGCCGCGGUAAUACGGAGGGUGCGAGCGUUAAUCGGAAUUACUGGGCGUAAAGCGCGCGUAGGUGGCUUGAUAAGCCGGUUGUGAAAGCCCCGGGCUCAACCUGGGAACGGCAUCCGGAACUGUCAAGCUAGAGUGCAGGAGAGGAAGGUAGAAUUCCCGGUGUAGCGGUGAAAUGCGUAGAGAUCGGGAGGAAUACCAGUGGCGAAGGCGGCCUUCUGGACUGACACUGACACUGAGGUGCGAACGCGUGGGUAGCAAACAGGAUUAGAUACCCUUGUAGUC
Molecule: ribosomal RNA, 465 nt
Filed under: Vreelandella stevensii
Lineage: Bacteria; Pseudomonadati; Pseudomonadota; Gammaproteobacteria; Oceanospirillales; Halomonadaceae
Description: partial 16S ribosomal RNA
Rfam family: Bacterial small subunit ribosomal RNA
Source: RNAcentral